This 502-nucleotide unclassified non-coding RNA is filed under the name Hevea brasiliensis (rubber tree). Lineage: Eukaryota; Viridiplantae; Streptophyta; Magnoliopsida; Malpighiales; Euphorbiaceae. The record is from RNAcentral.
UGCAUCAAGAUCUAUAAGCGUUGCUACCAACAACUCGAGCUCUUCUGGAUCAGUAUAGUCAAUUCCAUCAGCUUCGGAAAGUGCAGAUGCUAUAUCCCAAUAUGCUUCCUGGAUAGCAGUGAGGCGAUCAGCUGAAACUUCCCCAGGAAGAAACUCCAGAGUUUUCCCAUUCUUCUCUAGAGUAAUAUGCCUUGUUUUCUCCGUAUCGAUGGAACUUCUUUUCAAUUUGCACAUCUUGCUCACCAUCCUAUCAUGAAUGUUCUUGACAAACUCCAGAGCCAUCAGAGAAUCCUCCAUUGCACGCUGUUUUGCCACAAAAUCGGCACGUCUUAAAUCAGCCUCCAAGGCACCAUCGCUCCAGUGUCGAUCAGCAGCUUUCUUCAGUCUCGUUUGAGCUAUGUUUUUAAGAAUAGUGGCAACAUGCUGGAUUCUUUCGGCUCUUUUCUUUACAUUGUGAUCAACUUUCUCAGUAUCUUCCCGUGCCCGAGCAUCAAGCUUAAGA